GAUGAACGCUGGCGGCGUGCCUAAUACAUGCAAGUCGAACGCAUAGCGAAAGGUGCUUGCACCUUUCAAGUGAGUGGCGAACGGGUGAGUACCACGUGGACAACCUGCCUCAAGGCUGGGGAUAACAUUUGGAAACAGAUGCUAAUACCGAAUAAAACUUAGUGUCGCAUGACACAAAGUUAAAAGGCGCUUCGGCGUCACCUAGAGAUGGAUCCGCGGUGCAUUAGUUAGUUGGUGGGGUAAAGGCCUACCAAGACAAUGAUGCAUAGCCGAGUUGAGAGACUGAUCGGCCACAUUGGGACUGAGACACGGCCCAAACUCCUACGAGAGGCUGCAGUAGGGAAUCUGCCACAAUGGGCGAAAGCCUGAUGGAGCAACGCCGCGUGUGUGAUGAAGGCUUUCGGGUCGUAAAGCACUGUUGUAUGGGAAGAACAGCUAGAAUAGGAAAUGAUUUUAGUUUGACGGUACCAGACCAGAAAGGGACGGCUAAAUACGUG
Molecule: ribosomal RNA, 497 nt
Filed under: uncultured bacterium
Lineage: Bacteria
Description: partial 16S ribosomal RNA
Rfam family: Bacterial small subunit ribosomal RNA
Source: RNAcentral